GUUAGCAUAAUGUAGUGGUUUGAGUGCUGGACUAUGACUCUGGAGACCAGGCUUCAAUUCCCUGUUCUGCCA
Molecule: transfer RNA, 72 nt
Filed under: Phrynosoma platyrhinos (Desert horned lizard)
Lineage: Eukaryota; Metazoa; Chordata; Lepidosauria; Squamata; Phrynosomatidae
Description: tRNA-OTHER
Source: RNAcentral